RNAcentral lists this transfer RNA (89 nucleotides) under Patescibacteria group bacterium. Its description in RNAcentral is "tRNA-Leu". It matches the Rfam family "tRNA". From Rfam's summary of the family: Transfer RNA (tRNA) molecules are approximately 80 nucleotides in length. The record is from RNAcentral. RNAcentral also lists the same sequence under 1 other name.
GCUGAAGUGGCGGAAUUGGCAUACGCGCAUGCUUGAGGUGCAUGUUCCCAAAUUAGGGAUUGAGGGUUCGAGUCCCUCCUUCAGCACCA